Long non-coding RNA from Calidris pugnax (ruff), 204 nucleotides. RefSeq lists it as uncharacterized. The record is from RefSeq and is a predicted model, not a curated record. The transcript has 3 exons. NCBI's taxonomy places the organism in Eukaryota, Metazoa, Chordata, Aves, Charadriiformes, Scolopacidae.
AGAGGAGGGAUUUGACAGGUACAAAAUGGUGGUGCAGGUUGUGAUUGGAGAGCAGAGAGGAGAAGGAGUAAAUAUGGCUGCGCGCUGUUUCUGGGACGCUGACACUGACAGCUACGCCCACGACGUGUUCAUGAACGACAGCCUGUUCUGUGUGGUAGCUGCAUUUGGGUGCUUCUACUAUUGAAGACGGUGAAGAUUGCCCAG